UCCUGGCAACAGAAGACAAAUGAUUGUGAACGCAAAGGGAAGUACACAGUCAAUGGACCACUAAUAAACCUGUGUCAAAUGAUAUAACCUUGAGGCCCAGUCUCCACAGAGAGGCAGUCACUGGACCGUCCUAAUCUCUGCAUGGAAAACACAGGAGCUACAGGAAGAGUAGUUUCGAGCACUGUGGGAAUCACCAGCAGGAUGUGUACUUGCAGAGAUGUUUUCCAAAGGAGCCUGAAGUACAAGUUACUUUCCACCCAUGCAGGGAUCAGAACACUUCGCUAACAGAGAAAGGAGAUUGAGAAGAUCAGAUCUGAGAGACACGUUCAAAACUAUGUGUACCUGUACCAGCUGACAUUGUACUUGAGUGUUCACGCUAGAGGCUUCUUGGAGAGAAGAGAACCUGCCUGAGCCAUGCCCCAGGGGUCCUGAUACCUCACGCUGGGACACAGAAGUGAACAGCGGUUUCUGACCUGGGAUUCCACACUGCUCAGGAUUUGCUCAGCGAAGCCUGCAGGAGGGAGCGUCGAUCUUUCUCACCAAGGCAGGCCACCCUCCCUACCUGCCCAAGGGGCCAACAACUGCCUCAAGAUGCCCAGGAGGGGCCUCAGUCCUUGAACUCAAGCAGUUCAGUUCAGAGCACAGACUAUGAAGCUAUGAGGCUCAAAGCUUCCAGUGAGUCCAGGAGAAUGCGUUUCAAUCCCUGUUUUUCAGAGCACUUUGAGGUAGACAGUUUCCUCUCUAGCUCCCUCAUCAUAGGUCAUGAAUGUGCUGCUGUGGACCUGCCAGAUGCAAGUACAGGAGAUAGGCCCAGGCUGUACAUCCCAAUUGGAUUGGAAACCAACCUGCAGCUGGCAGAGAUUUUAAGGACAAGAGAGGAUUAAGCAUGAUCUCCAGUAGACACUAAGGGUUUGGCUGUAAGAAGAAGAAGCAUUUUAAACCCUUCAUGUUCACAGUUAUUGCCAGAAGUGGAUGGUCAGAGGCACUGCUUGAGGAAGGCUGACUGCAGAGUAAGAGAUGACCCAAAUUCCCGCUGCCUGACAGCAGAAGAGAUGUUCAAGGAGACUCUGCAAUUGCCCCAAACGCAGAGCAAAGAAGAUGGUGUUUAGCUCUGGACUCAACACACAGGCAUGGUCUCUGCUGAAGAAGUCUGACAAUGUGAGCCAGUUUCUUGGAAAUUAUUUUGAGGACAGUGUGUUCCCCCAGCAGCUGUGAGUCAGUCUUUUACCUUCUCUCAGGUAGCAUAAAUCACCUGCUUUACAGUAACAGCUCUCAAACGGUUCCAGAUGUGUGUGGCCCUGGUCCCUUACCUGUGCUGCUGUAGAUGGUAAAGAAGAGGCCCCCUCCAAUGCCCAUGCUGUGAGCAUUCAUGAGUCCUACGCAAAGCAGAGCUGCAAUCGCAGCAUCCACUGCUGAUCCACCUUGCUGAAGGAUGUCCCUGUGCAGCAGAAGAGAAGGCAUUGGAUGGUGACAUGUUACAGUGUCUCAGCUACCUGUGAGCAAUGGAUUCAUCUCAUCAGAGCAGCUGUGACAGAUUCUCUAAUGCACAUUUGUCCAGACCCAGACUAUAGGUUCCUCAGAAGUAGGAAGUUUUGAGCUUUUGUCACCUUAGAGAACAGAUCCUAAUGGUCUAGGUGCAGACCAGAUCAGCCCUCAUUAGAGGCACAUCCAAACUAGCCUGAAAACACUGUGAUGUAUCAAAGCAUGCAUGGGGACAGGCAUCCCUGACACAUUCAUUACACAUGAGAAAUGACAACUCUCUGAGGAGCCUGAAAUCUGCAGCACUUGCAUCCAGAACUGGAGGACAGCUUGAUAAAUGGUUUUUAACAGGAGCUUGAAAAGCAUCUCUUGUUCCCAUUGUUCAUGCAACUAGGUUCUUUGCCCGCUAUGUUGUCUUUGAGCAACUGCAGUAACACUGGUCAGGCAGGGUAAAAGCCCAGGUUUUAUUAUGGCCCCCUCUUUCUACGGGGAGAUUAGAGAUUAUCUGUGCUGGGCAACGGCCAGGCUUGCACCUGGACAUCGGGGAAACAGUCUUGUGCAAGAACCGUCAGAGCUUACAAGUCACAGCACAAUUAGCGGGUACCUUCCAAUUAUCGAGCACUGCCCUGCAUCCGUAGCCACAGCUGCCCUCUUGUAAGUGUGUGUGUCCCCCGAGUCAGAGCGCAGCCCGAAGAAAAGUCCCAGGAACAAGGUGAGUCCCAGCAAAGCUGCAGCCAGGACUCCGGCCACCACAUAGCGCUGCUUCAUCUUCCUGUGGGAAGAGACAGGAUUGUCAACCUUGCUGCCUCUGGGGCACAUGGGAACUAGGGAGCAGAUGAUCAGGCACAAGAGCAGUAUUUUCAUCUCCCUUCUUUCAUAUCCACUGCUUCCCUCCUCCGAGCCUUGGCAGCCGCCAGCUCUGCACACGGCAGGGCAGUUUGGGAAGGAGUGGCCAGGGGAGGUGCAAGCCCAAUUCUGGCCUUGACGGUUACAUCGGGGUGAUGUCCUGUUUUCAAGUGGAGUAUCAAGAGGGGAGGGGAUGUUCAAGAUGUCCUGCUACUGUUACCUUUCAGUGGCAAUAUGACAACUGAUUGCUCUUUGUGACUUUAUGCUCUGAGGAUUUUAGAUGCUCAGCAAGCAUUUAACUUACUGCUGUGUUUGACAGGACAGGGGCCCAAUGUCAGACUGGAUUUCAUCUAGCUGCCAAAUGAAGGCAGCAAUACCAAUCAGAGACUUUUUAGCAGAUUCCCCCCCCCAGCACAUGCUGUCAGGCCCUUUGCCUAUAUUUUGUAAUGUGAUGGAGUCAAGGACGGCAUCCCACCCACGCCCUGGAGGCAAGCUGGCUUUGCCAGGUAAGCAGCCAUCUCUGUUGACCUCUUCCUCCCUACUUCAUAGCCACACAGUGAGUCUGUAUAUAGGACUUCUUCCCAUCUUUCCAGUCCUUGCUUUUUAGCAGGUUUCCACGAGUUCCGAGAUGCAGGCAGUGAACAGCUGCCUCCUCCCCUGAAGCUCUCACAGAGGGUCUUUCACAUAUUUCCUCACUCAGAUUCAUAUCAAGACCUUUUCUAUGGGCAUUGCCAGUACCAUUUCUUUAUGCCCCUGCCAUCUCUGCACAGAACAAAUGAUCCAGUAACUCCAAAGCUUUUACCAGCUUCCCCUUUACCCAUUACUGCCAUCCUAUUUGCAGAGAUUUCUGCUGCAGUGAGCACCCGGGGGACUCCUGGGAGCCCUUUGCUAACAGUUCUGAAGUGCUACAGGACCAGUAAUGAAAAGGCCCCAAACCAGCAACUAUCACUUGGGUGAGAACCUGUCUUACAGCAGGUGGUAACCUGAUACACCAAAAAAGCAGAUUUGUAAGUGAGAAGGGAAAUCCAAGGAGCAGAACAUAAUUGUUGUUAGUCGUGGCUCACAUCAUCUUCAGAGGAAAAUUUUUUAAAAAUAUUAAUAUAAUCUGCUUUUAAAUACCAUAUCUGUGAAGGAGUCUCUGACCAGAAAGUUAUCAACGACCAGUGCAAAAUACAUCUUAGUCAUCAGCAAGCAACCUUGGCCAAAGCUAUUUGGCACACCCCAGUGGAGCACCCCCUCCUGUUCAGGGUCCUUGGCCAGAGCACCCUUCCGAUCAACUUGCCACUUCUAGAGGGCGACGGCCAGUGCUCAUGUCUCCACAUUUCCCAGUCCUGCAAACAGCUGCUCUUGGAAUGCACAGGGUUACAGUUCAUCUGUGACUGAGCAUAGGACAGCAAGGAGCUCUUGGGCAAGCAUAUUCCAGAUACAUACCAGGAUGAGUCAAGAUCUACUGAGGGGAUGGAGCGUCACUGCCACCUUGUUGGGACUGACAGUUCAUGAAAUACAGCUUGAACAGCUACUCUUUGACCCAUUUCCUUUCCCGUUUACGGGAUUGUUCCAGGAAAAAAGACAUGAAUCCAUCACAUUGCCUUCAGGUACCAACUUUUCCCUGUGUAGUGCAGCUUUGGGUUUUCACCGUGACUGCUGUACUUGCACAACAGCCAAGAUGCCUUUUACCUCACUGAAGCAUCCUCAAAGACGAGCCAAUCCAUGGCACUGUGGGUGAAGAGUGGAUCCACCAACCCCCCACCCUCUGUGGAUAUUCAACAGCCCAAAGCACAGCAGCCAGAGCAGCACUCAGUGCCUUGCAGCAGCACACGCAGGAUUAGGGAGCAGUGAGUGUGCCAGCACUGAGCUAACCAGAGGAAACAGGCCAGGCCAGGCAAACCAAAACUUUUCUCAGAGGGAGGAGAUUUGCAAGCACUGCCCCCUCAACCUCACCCCCCCAUUCCUGUUAUUUAAGUUAGGAGAUACAUAUUUGCUAUCUAAGCCCUGUAUCUGUGAGUCGCAGUCUGAGCACUAAAGAUGUCCAUCUCCAAGUAAAGCAGCUCAGACCAGGGUGUAAAUCUACUGUAUGUGCUGUUCUGUAAACAAAUGUCAACUGAGGGCAGUAAAAGGUAAAUGGAUGAAACCUCCUUCCAGGUUCUAGAACUUGAUUUACACUCAACUACUUUUAAAAGAGACCAGUGGCAUGUUUGCAGAGCAAUGACUGCGCAGGGAAACAGAGAAGCCAUUAUGUCCCCAACAAUAGCUCACACACAGCCUCAGAGUUUAAAGACAGUUUUGUUUGUUGGCAGAGAGAGUUCAGCUUCAGCACUGGCAGUCUCCUCCAGGCUUCACAAGAAAUGCCAUGGGAUCUUUUAUCUGUGCCCCAGCUAGGCAGAAGGUACUUUGUUUCCUCUGAAGGCUGCUCUAUGCCGGCUGUGCCGCAAGCCUGGGGUGUGUUAACCCAUAGGCUCCUGGCUGGGGCCAUGCAGUUCUGCACAGCCGCUUGCCUCCCUGCUGGGCUCCUGUAAGCAUCUGCUGCCCUGUCAGGCAAGUUAUUCUGAGAGCAGGAGAGGAGAAGGGGGAAACCUCAGAUGGUAUUUACUGCUCCCAUCUUUCACCUCCUCUCUGGAUUUGGGAUGACACUCGUGAGCAUCUCAUAGACCCGUAAGAGCCCCACACGGAGUGCCCAGCUGCCCAGUGAGUUCGCAGGGGUGAGGGUAAGACACACACCACUGGGGGCAGGAGGAAGCACCCAGACUGCUGUGGAGAAGAGACAGAUUGCUGGGCUCUGCUCCUGUACUGCACUGUGGUACCACGCUACCCUCUGGGCUGGGCCUCUGGGACCCAAGUGGGGCCAGAAAAAGUGAAUGCUCUCCAUAACACUGCAUCUGCGCAAGCUGUCAGAUUGAUCCUGCUAAGGAAGCAGCAGAUGUACAAGUUGAAGAUCUGCAGUUUUCUUUUCCUCAACAGCACAGACAGCAAACUCAGCUGAGGAUAAUCCUCUCCACCUUAACUGCCAGCUCAACUCCCGUAAGCUCCUUAACCUUUUUCAGGCCUGACCCAAGAGGGAAGCAUCGCUUGCACAGUCCUUACUGCCUUCCUAACUGUGGCACUGCAGGAGCCAAAUGAAUUUUGUUUGCCAUAAAGCAUUCAGGAGAUGGAUCAGGAGCCUGCAGAUAUUCAUCCUUUAACCCACCUACCCACACCCGCUCUGUGCCCUGGGUAAACACACUGCAGGAACAGCUGAGUUUUUGCACCAAUGGUCUUUCUGAGCCUCACUGCGUCCCCGCUAUGAUUUAUUGUUGGGAGCGAAGGAGCAGCUGCGGGCCACCGCCUGUGCUGGUUCCCAAACUAUUGUCUGCUGAGGCUGGCUUGAACCUCCAGAUCCCUGCCAAAUGCAGGUGUUUGGAAGCUUGGCUAGCACUUCAGUCACGCAGGGCUGCUUGGCAGCAGCAGCAGGUCUCCAGGAGAGAGGGGCUAUAAAACCAUUAAAAGCAAUAUGAUUAUUUCUCACUGUUAUAAAGGUCCAACAGCCAGUCCUAGCCAUGGAAUUUAAAAUGUAGCUCAACAGCCUGUUUUAAUUUAUAUUAACAGAGGGGGAGGACCAGCAAGCAGCAGAGUUACGCCUGCACGAGCAACCCCACUGAGCUGUGUUCAGAUGUGUCACAGCCUUAUUUAAACACACGAUAUUCACAGCCUUAUUUAAACAUGACACUGUUUUUUAAAUAAAAGGGCCCCAGUGCAACAGGCUAGGUAGUAUCAGGCAGGGGAUACAGGGUCUGACAUCUCUGCCAAGAGGGUUUGGGGUACACUGUAGAGAUGAGGUACCUGCCUCAGUCAGGGAAAGCACCAGGAGAACUGAAAGAGGAGAAAGAGGAGAGGUACCAGCCAGAAAGCAGGGGAGCAAGAACAGCAGGAUACCAGAGGAUGACAAAAGGGUCCAGGUAUGGUCAGGCACUGCCUUGUUCUUGAAUGAAGUAGUGAAGGAAGCAUCCACUGACAACACCUAAAACGUUAACCACAAUCUUCAACCCAACAGGCUUCUGCUUUAAAUCCCUCUUGCAACAGCUGCAUACCUCGGCACCCACUCCUAGGAUUUCCGUGUACUCCCAUCCCCAGCCCAGGCCAUUAGCUUUGAGACAUCUGUCCUUCCUUUCCCCAGGCAGCACACAGUACGCAAGGACAGACUGGACAUCUGAAUCUUGUCACAGGACAUGCUCUUCUGAUAAAACUCAAAGUCUAAUCCAUAUUAAUUAUUUAAAUAUGGCAUUGUUAUCGAUAACAGUUGAAAUAAUGUUUGCACACUCUACUGUUGUGUAGAGUGAACUGUCAGUGACUUUUGAGUGAGAAUGCACGUAAAGCAAACAGCUGCAAGACUGCCACAGGGCCCCCAGGGGUCUAAGCCAACAGAGGCCUCAGAAAAGCAGAACCAGGUUGCCAGCAGAGGCCCAAGGGCUGCUCACACAAAUGUCCCGUUACUGAUCCAGCGUUAUGUGGCAACCUAACAAAGGUGCCUACAACCAAUCACACAGGUGGAGCCACCUCUAAAGUAUAUAUAAAACUCUAAGACAGCUACUUACACUAACAGCAUACUCCAGAACUGGGUACACCACGUUGAUCACUGACAUCCUGUCUUGCUACAGCUGUAGGUGCUGUCUGACCCAAGGGCUGUUCCCAGCACCCUGCUGGGGGGCCAGGCCAUACGGGAGCUCACCGGGAGCUAGUGUAAUGAAGAAAGCAAAUUAUUGCUUCACCUGUGGGAAGCCCUUGCACUAGGAGUCUGUGCGCACACCCAGUUAGCCAGAAGACAGUUUGAAUUUUCAGGUAUAACUGUGCUAACCAUGCAUUCCGCAACUGUCAGUAAGGACGACAGCCAGCAACUUCUGCUUUCAUCUGCAAGAAUAUCAAGGGUCAUCAGCCUCUGAGCAGCUAAUUAGCUGAGGUUAUCUGCUCCAAGAGAACUUGCACUGAGAAAAAUUAAGACAAGACCAACACAGAAAGUACACUGGGACUGUCCAUGGCUACUUCUGGUGAUUUCAGCAGUUCCUUCCACUUCAAAAGGCAGAAAUGUUUGCAAGAUUUGUUUGCUGGUCUGAGUUAAUCAUGUUGUACUUUGCUUAUGUACCUGUUUUCUAGCAGUUCUGUAAGAUUUAGUAUGACUCUGGCUAAGUAGGGUCUUUGCCUAUGCAUUCUAGAGCACAUUAUGCCUUCUCACAUGCCAAAUCCAAAGCUUAGGUUGCCCAUUCCUCAUCAGCAAUUCCUUCAUUACACAAUCUACAGUUCUUAGGUUCUGGAAGGCUAAUAUAUGCCAUAAUUACCCAAAGGUCAGGGGAUAAACACCUUACACAACAAGGAUUGUGUAAAGACUACGUAGCUGGAACAUCAGACCUGCCUCCUGCCUACCAGGUCAGAGGUCUCCAAUUACUAUGGGGUCUUUGUAUCUCACCGUAAAUAAUCCCAAAGUAGUGGUAGGGGGUGACCUGGUGCAGGCUGUACAUAGCUUUACUCUUGGGGUGAACUGGGACGGCUCAGAUGCAGUAUUUCUACCCACUAACAGGUCUGUGUUAGCCCAAAUGGCAGAAAACUUUGUAACUUUGUGAGUGAUACCUUCGUGCCUGCUCUUCUAUGGCUUUGUUAGGAGAGACACAAACUUCCCGAGCACUCUCCUUUCGAGAGCAGCCCCACAAGGAAAGGGUUGGUUUCCCCGUGCUAUAUGUCCUGUACUCGCACACAAAGGUCUGGUUCCAUAUAAACCUCCCUGCAUGCAGCCUUGCCCUGCGGUUAUUGCAAGACAUGAACUUAUUAAGCCAUUUAAGAUUCUGAUCUACAAGUUUAUGUGCUAAAUACUUUUCCCCUCAGGUCUUUUACUAGGAUUUACAGUAGCAGUCACCAGGACGCCUCUGAUCAGGACUCUGGUUCUGCAACCAACCACACAGGCAGACAGAAUCUCCUAUCAGGUACUGGUCUUCAUGGUGACUAGCAGGCAUUUUUUCCAUAACUAUUUCUACCUUUUCCACACAAUGCCUUUAAACAAGUUAUUAACAACACCUCUUGUAUCUAAGGAAAUCAUUCCCAAUGCAAGUCUUACCCAGAUUUCUGUAGAAAACUGACUCAAAUAUUUAAGUAUCAGCACAAGCAGAUAUUUUAAGCCUAGUAAAUUCCAGGCCACACAAUGAGACAAGAGAUGUGUUCUGGUAUUAAGCUGGAACUUAAAACUAAGAAGUUCUUGUCCUUAUCCAUCACAAUAUAUUUAAGUUGAAGUCUUACACAGCUUUCAUCUGCACCAGCAAGAAGGGAACUAAAGCAGAGUUCAGCAAAGCCACGAAGAAGCCCAAACAGGCUUCCAAAUUUGGAUCCAGGCACUGCUCCUGCAUGGAGCAGGGGGACGAAGCAAUCCCUGAAGAAAUGCAGUUAUUCCAUUCAGCUCAGCUACAAGCCUUCCUCACAGCUAGCGCCUGUCCAGCUGGCCUGCACCCUGUGUGACUUGCUGCCUCCCUCCCCUCGGAUGCAGGUUACAAGCCUUUAGCACCCUCUUUGGUAAGGCUGGCAUGGAGGGCUCAUGUGCAUAUGGAUCAAUUUUAAGGAGAAAGGCCUCAGUGAAGAUCAGUGGUCCCUACUUACUGCUGUGAUGGCCAGCCAGACGCUGAAGAGAACUGAGGGAAAAGUCCCUGAAUAAAGCAGGCUGUUCCAGCUGGCUUUCAGGUAUGCAGUUUACAAAAAGAGCUAUUGUAAUCGAAAUCUGCAACUCCUCCACAGACACUGGGUUUUCUGAAGCCUAAUGGCAUGUCGUAUGCUGUUCAAUGUAGAGUAAACUCAGAGUUCCCUGAGAGAGACAAUAAUUUCCUCUUGAAAUUGUUUUUUCCAAAAAUACCUUUCAUGUUUUCCUGCAGGAAUUUUAGUGUCAAAUCCAACAUUUUUUAUUAUAAGACACUUCAGCAUAAACUUUGAAGUGAAAAAAGGCAGAAAGGGGGAAUAAAUGCAGAACAGCCCAUUUCACAUUGUUUUCACAGUAUUUUCUAGUUGGGGACCUCCCAGAAAACCAGAACUGACAAACUCAAUGUCAAAAAUGCAAGUUAUUAAAGUUUUAUGAACUCAUGCGGGACAUCACUGUUACAUUCCCUCCCAAUUUAAAAUCAAAAUGCUUCAUUAAAAUAGUUCUAUUCUCCCAACUGUUGCAAAAGAUGUUUUCAGAUGUUCUUCUGCCGUUAGACUAGAAGUUACUAGACCUGAGCUUAUUCAGACUGGUUAGUCAGGUUCUAUCAUUUUCUUUUGGCAAGCUUUCAUCUGAUACAUUAAAAAAAGUCCCAGUGUCCCAUAUUCUGCUAAAUAUGAAAUCCCAUACAGCACUUCCAGGCUGAGGGGACUGGCUUAAUGAAGGUAAUUUCUAAUUCCUCCUUACCUCUCCAGAGUAUUUGCAAAGUCCGUCCUGUCUUUUUGCACAGAUCUUUAUGUACUGAUACCCUUUGAAUAUCCUUUCUCAAGCAGUGAACCCCUUUCUAGGGACAAUACAUCCUUGUAGCAGUAACUACGUUACUUAAAAGCUCUCUGAAGCGUAUCCUACAACCUGAUAUUUGUACCGCUCUGCUCAUGGAGAUUAACUCAUCGAAACUCAUUAUGUUUGAAUUCACAGUACCAAAGGAAUGCAUAAGUAAUCAUUGACUAGGUGAAGAGUCAAGAACCCACAUUUUAAAAUGCAUAUUUUAGCAUCCACAAAUGCUGUAUAUCACCAGCAGAUUCAGUCUGUGUUCUUGGAUUGGGUUACCACGUAAUGCAAAUGUUAGUUUUGCCGCACCUCAUCACUAGCUCUUAAAUUCUCAUUAAGCAACAGUGCAGAUAUGUGGUCAUCUUAAGCAGAAGCGCUCCCAUCUCCACAUGGUCAUGUACCCUCACACCACUCUUGCCUAACCAGCUGGCACCCUUGUGAUUCAAGAAGUCUGGGUUUUAAGUGUGUCUGUACCUUGCAGCUUAAACCCAGACACCCUGACAGAUUCAGCUGUGUUUACAUUUCGUGGGAACAACCUCCUCUUGACCAAGUGUGAGCAAGUGCCUGCAAUGUGAGGGCACCCGAUCAGCUCAUGUACCUUUCCUCAGCAAUCAUCACAGCUGCACACUACCUUAACGCUGUCAUUGGGUUUAUUUCCGAUUAAAACUCCAGCUGCAAUGACAAGAUGCAGUGCCUGUUCUGCCACCCCUGCUCCCAUAGCAGCACCCUCUGCCUGGAAGGAUGGCAAAGCAAGAAGGUAGGGAUGAAGAAACCUGCCUUCCAUCACUAAACCUCACUGAGGCUUUUAAGCAACAACCCUACACGUCUGCUUGUGCCAAUUCUAGAAGCAUAGUUGCACCUCAAAGGUAGCAGCUUACCUGCCAUUGAACAGUACAGCAUAAACCCCAGGAGCAACCCAGACUUGAGGUAACGAGCUGCAUUAACUGUCUUUGGACUCUAAGGACUCAGCUACUAAAGCUUUGGCCACUGCUGCUGUCUGUGACUUGCUAGCAACCUUAGACCCACCUUUGAACACCAGAGCUGAAUGCCCAUCUAGAUAGAACACAGCACAGGCAAAUCACAGCUUGCCUGAAGCAUGGGCACAGCAAGGAUACAAGCCUACAUGUCCCAAGCCUGAUUUUUAGCCAGGAGGCUGUCCUGCAAAAGCAGGAUGAUGCAAAGUCUGCCUGGAUGCCAGUCAGCAUGGCUAGGUGCUAUCUCUUCACCUACCAGGAUCAACCAGGUGGUUAAUGUCUCAAUUCCAAACCUGCCCAGUCCUUCUGCCCCACUCCAACCUUUGACACACUGGAUCUUUACUUACUUGAGAAGGAUGGUAGCUAUACUACGACUCAUUAACAAAAUUUGGCCUAGCUCCAAGGGUAAAAGGUUUUGAGAACAUGAGCUGUAUUUUCUCUGCUUUAAAAUACAUCUUCUUUUCUGUAAUAGCAACAAAAUGGAGUUCUGUUUAACAUCUACGCUUGGUAAAAUCACGCGCCCAUCUUUCAAAGAGGACUUUCAGAUACUCCUUUCAUAGCAGUGCAUCAAGAGGGCAGGUCCCUCCAGUCAUAUUGCUGUAGUCCAAGAGAUCUUGAGCAAAAAUGGAAGCUUUCUGGAAAGCAGGUACUGGCACAGAAAAUAUUCUGCAAGCUCGGAAGGAUUUGAUGUAUCUGCUGUUUCUACUGGCCAGUCUGAAGUGCACGUUCAGAGUCCAGGCCAUAUUCAGUAACACAUACCGCUCUCGCUGCAUCUCAUUUAUUGAUGUGAGACCCAUGAUGCUCCACAGAGAAGACUGUGACAGGAGCUGUUCCAAAACAACUAUCCUCUGAAAAAGCAGACAGUGUGGAACAGUAUUCUGCUCUCUGCCUCAAACGGAACUGCACUUUAUCUGUCACACCUUUAAUAUUAAAUGAUAUUUUAUAGGGGAAUCUAAGAUGCAGUCUACUGAACUGAACCUUUUUCUUAAUUUACUAACUCUAUAGGUGUGAUGGUGCCUGGUUUUAUGCUUAAUAGCAACUUCAGAACUAUAAAACUAUGUUCUUGAAGUAGGUCUAGAUCAGAAGAGUGUCUCCCUGGCACCACAUUUGUCUUGGAGGGUGCAAGGUCACACAGAAAGGCUGCUAGCUCUAAGAAAUCCCCAUUCUAAAUCAUAAUUAUCCAACUGUAACUCUUCACCCCCAUUGCUGAAAGGCAAGUUUUAGACCAGUGAGCCACCAGAAUUAAGCAAGUUCCUACGUCUUUCUUCAAGGGCAAUGUAGUUUCACCUGUGGCACAUCCUUACCAGCACAGAGCUGGAACAAGCUGGAUGCCCCUCAGCAGAUCAGUCUUUCACUUAUGUACAAGUAGAGUUGAGGAUGGUGUCAUUCUCAUGAUGAGAAAGUUACGAAACCUGAAGUUAGUGCUUCUGAUAGGUGAACAGCUUGCCAUGUGCAGGCUGUGCUAUGCACAACUACCUAAUUUCAGUUGUACAUAGUCUUUGGGAACUGUCAAGUAUCUCUGUCUAAGCAAUAGAGAGUCCUGUUACAACUCACCCUUGCGUGUUUCAAGCAGCAAAGCCGCACCUUAAACAGCAAUGCCAUGUUUAAUGCAGGUGCAUUGCUGCCUUGUUAAUCUCCACAUCUCAAGCCAUUACAAAGCAAGUGCCUCUUGCAGGGCUUGCCACCUCUUUCUGUCUGUGAUGUUCACGGCAUGGUCAUCUUUAACAUUCUCCAAAAUUAGCAUGCACUAUUACACUGAAACAUGAGCAACAGACUGAAAACUCCAUUUGUUCCUCCUCCUAGAGGAGUGCAUCCAUCAGCACCUGAAGCAAUGCCUUCACAGCUUUUGUAACAGAACUUGCAGAUACUAUAAAGUAUCAGGCAACCUGAAGGCACUUCUGGGCCAUUUUUAUUUUUGCUUUUCCCUCCCCAUCCCCUAUUGAUUUUUUCCAUAGGACUUUCAUGAAGCAACAACGACUCACACAACCCAGAUCACGCAAUCACAUCUACUGUUCAGACUCCUCCUUUUCAUGGAAGAACAUGCAAUCCAAGGUCUCCAUUUCCUGAUGUUUUAAUUAAUGCAUUGUUGGAAUAGAAGCUGUUACAAGAUGUCCUCAUUUUGCAGGUUAGCUAUUUUUUCCAUGGGGAAGUCUUUCCUCUCUAACAGAGCCAUGUUGCAAUCCAAUGCUACUUGACCAUAAGCAUCAAAACAGUAUCUUGAUUGCCCAGUAACAAACACAGAGAUCUUAAUAAGCAUGUGAGGCUUCUUCCACUAUAUGUUUCCUUGCCGACACCUUGCUCCACUCUUCCGUGCAUGGGGCAACCAGUGGAGGUUAAGUACAAGCUGCAUGAGCAGCACGCAGUCCUCAUUGAAGCUAAACACCACAUAAGAAAUACCAAUACAAAAAAAGAGACCACUGCUAAAAAAGUCCUGGCAAACAAGUCAAUGGGGAAGACUCUUAAGAGAAAAGGUACUUUAGGAACUGGAAAAGUUGCCUAGCGUGCAAUAGGUCAAAUUGACUAAGAGCAGGGAUACAACAGCUGACCUGCAGAGCUGAAGCUAAAUAAGCAGAUGUUUGCCCACAGCCAAAGCACCUCCUUCCCCUCCAGUGAGAGCUGCUUCCACUGCAACGCACCUGCUCAAAGAGGACGAACCACUAAACCCACAUGCUCUCAUUUUAUGAAGUCUGGUUUCCCAUAAUCAUCCACAGGUGCACAUUACUCCCUGGGGCAAAGGUAAGCAAAAUGAAAGAUAACUGGUAAAUGGGGAGUUUAUUAACCCUUUCUUGCCAGCCACAUGGCCCAGUUCUGGUUAUAUUCAUAUACCCACAUAGGGCUGAAGUAGUUUUACUGGGACAGUGCUGCGGUACGACAGCUGACAAAGCUCCUUGGUGGCCAGAGGCGUUGUUGAUUGCUGUGCAGAAGGAACAGUGAUGUACCUUUGACAAAGGCCACUGGGAUGCAUUUAACGGGGAAAAGUUUGGAUAAAACCUUCUGAUGUUGUACUAUUCUGACAUCAAGAAUUCAUGCCGUUGCAUAUUAAUAAAAUUGUUAUGAUCCCAAUGGG
Molecule: long non-coding RNA, 13837 nt
Organism: Falco peregrinus (peregrine falcon)
Lineage: Eukaryota; Metazoa; Chordata; Aves; Falconiformes; Falconidae
Exons: 3
Source: RefSeq, a predicted model, not a curated record